Dermochelys coriacea (leatherback sea turtle) is the source of this 2449-nucleotide long non-coding RNA. RefSeq lists it as uncharacterized. NCBI's taxonomy places the organism in Eukaryota, Metazoa, Chordata, Testudines, Dermochelyidae. The transcript has 2 exons. The record is from RefSeq and is a predicted model, not a curated record.
UUGGUGGUUGCUAGUCCCAUGUUUACAAAUAAACAAAGUUAGAUGGAGAGACAAGGUGGGUGAGGUAAUAUAUUUUAUUGGUAAUAUCCUGGGACCCAGAAGGCUACAACUCUCCAUUCAAAGUUACAUGGAAUCCGAUUCUCGUCUCAUAUCUAGCAUUGCCAAAACUGCCUCCCUAGUUGCGGUUUUCAGUACAGUCUGAAUAGAUUCAAUUUAAGGUUAUUUUAAUAGCUAAUUUGUUAGUAAAAAGCUUAUUUAAGCAAAUAUAAGAUUUUCCAAGUUUAGAAAGGAGGUAAUCAGAAGAAUGGCACUUCAUUUUCAGAAGGGCUUCGGAUAACUUAGCUGAUCAGAUAAUAGAUGUUACGUAGGUAAGAGCUAUUGCAUGAUACAUACCGAUUUUUUUCUUAAUACCGUAGGGAGUGUGUAAAGUUCACAACCAAAAGUCCUUACCAUAUUGUUUUCCGUAUUCCUUGUUUAAUACACUUUAAUACAAGCUGUGCAAGGGCUAUAUAUCAAAUGUCGAUGUCGUUAAUUAAGGUUUAUAGUUUAUUCAUGUUUGAAGUGAAGUUGGACAUAGUUGAAGAGGCUGCAUGUGGAACACACAGUUGAACACUGAAGAAGCGAGAAGACACAUUUUAGCAGUUUGAUCCGUGAUCAGUACAUAUAACACUACACCCCCACUCGUGUCGAGCGAGUGUCUAAAGAAAUCAGUCAGACUCCGCGGCCAUUUAUAUUCAAAAUGACAAAAAGAGUUCAGAUGAAAUACCCUAGGAAACUCCGCCUUUUGGAAAGAAACGCUUUCUGUGUUUUUGUUUAUUAUUUUUUAAUCAUGUCGUUAGCACGAGCAGUCAAACAGAAACGCCAACAUUCAUAGUCUUAAAUUUAUGGAUUCUAAAAAGAGAUUUACUAUGGCUGAUCAAUUUGUAGUGUUCCUUUCUUUACAUCUUUUUGCAAGCUAUUAUAUUUUUCUUGGGAAACAAACAAACAAACAGACAAACAAACAAACAAACAAACCCAAACACAUUCAGUAAAGUAUCAGAUUUCAGAAUCAGUCAAGGAGAUCAAAUCCAAUUUCCUUCUAAUGAGAUUCUGGACCUUUCUUUACUUAAAACAUUACUUUUAGAACAACUAUGUUUAUUUGAUUCGGCACUGUUUACAAAUAGCUUUUAAUAGCUCAUUGUUUCCUGAAGUGGUUACAUUUCAGUCUUGCUUCUUAGUAUGAAAUCAGCGAGGCUUCUAUAUAACGAUUGAAAUCCACCUCCUCUUCACCUAUAACAGAAACGAGAACAGAAAACGUCAAUUCUAAUUUCAGAGGGGGAAGGGAGGGGAGGAACAAAUACAUUUUUUUUUUACAGUGAAAUGGCAUGUAUCCAAGCAGUGUUUCUUAGCUCAUGCUUUGUGAGACUAUAGCCUAAAGUAGGAAAAUUCGCCACUAUUACACCUCCAUAUCUGGUUCAUGCUAGUUUAGUGACACUCACUAAACAAAGCAAAUUUAACCACUUAAAAGGAAAAAAAAAUAUUCCCUGACACGGACAGAGAUUGUUAGAAACCUCAAUUUAAAACCUCUCAUUUUCUUUCUGUCAAAUACAGCUGAGAAAGUUUUGUGAGUACGGUUCCUUCUUGGAAGAGGAUCAGCUAUAUUUAAAGGGGAGAGGGUGGGUAAUAGGUAGGUGUUUUGGUUAUGCCAGCCAGCAUAAUCCGACACCCCGUUGCUGUGUCUAAACCGAAAUAUAUACUACUAGAAGAUCUGAAUCAAUCCCUGGGAGUUUUAUUUAAUAAGGAUUGGAGUUUUCUGGGAGUCCUGAAGUUUCCCCUGUUAUUUCAAUCCCUUAAAGCUCCACGAAGCGGGGACCUGGGUCAGCCCCGGGAAAUAAAGCCUUGCACCUAUUUCUCGAGUCCAAAGCGUCGAAAGGGUUAAUGAGUCCUGAACGGGGCUCGCACAGGGGCAAUUGGAAAAACCGAAUCGCUUUCAAGACAUCCGUUUAGUCAGUACGAAAAAAAAAAAAAAGGCUCGCGAAACAUGGUUUGGGGAAACCUGCAGAGGAAAUGGACACAGUCUACAUUUCAGGGCUCAGUCCUCACGGUGAAGCUGAAGGAAUCAGCAGCUUCCAGUUAACACAAUUCAACCCCAGAUGAUUCUGUCCGUGGACGUCUCCUGUUCAUAGGGCUGCUUAAUUUCAUGGGUAUUUUUUGCCACCACAUAAAUCAAGCACGCCCGACCAGGUUUUUAAGGAUUGGAUGAUUUAUAUGCAUCAAAUCGGAUCUCUGAAAGCUUUUGUUUCACCCGUGUGUUUGAUAAUAUUUCUGUUAUCAGUAGUGUGCAUCUGUAAAUGUUAAGAACUAAAGUUAGUUCUUUAUUGUGACAUUGUAGGAAUGAAAAUGUAGAAUAUAAUGAAGUAAACCUUUUAUUACUGCAAGGAACUAGACUGUCCCGGAACAAAAUCGCUUU